UAGUUACUUCUCCUUGCCUCUGAUUCAGUCAGGAGGAUCAGCUCUAAGUCACUGUUGGAGGUAUCACUUCCAUUUUGAGCGGACUUGGAGUGUUGGGAGGCUUUUCUUCUCCUCUUAUUGUCUGGUCCUUUUCUUUCUAAGCCCCUGGGAAGAAGGAAUGCUGUGGGCUCUAGCCCUACUUCUUCUAGCCAUCCUGCCUCCUGGCAGUCAAACAUCUUCCAGUCUGGAAGGCAGAAUAAGGUCAGUCAUCAGGUCACCUGGAUCAUAUGUAAUAAUCAUCUGUGAAUUUCGUGAAGCAAAUAAAUAUAUCCACUGGUACCAAUUCAAGGAGGGGAAGUCCCCAAGACGAAUUCUCUACUAUGAUAUUUUCAAUUUUAAGUUGGACUCAGGAAUAAAUUCAAGGAAAUAUGAGGCUGAUAAAGGCAAAGAUAGAAGAUUGAGUGGCAGAGAGACCCCUGGAACAAGACCUCCCUCUAUCUUCAAGUUUCAAGCUUUAGUGACUCCUUAGCCAGAACAUUUCAAGGAUGAAAGACUCUGAAUUUCCUGCUGAAUUGUGGAAAAGCUGAGACGUGGACGCUACCCUUGUUCCCAGCUUUGGAAUUCUUAGAAGAGCCCCAUAUCAGUACUCUCUAUUAAACCCUUAUGUCAAGGAUAAGAUCUUGCAUGUAAAAUAACUCAAAA
Molecule: long non-coding RNA, 681 nt
Organism: Marmota monax (woodchuck)
Lineage: Eukaryota; Metazoa; Chordata; Mammalia; Rodentia; Sciuridae
Exons: 4
Source: RefSeq, a predicted model, not a curated record